UCCGGCAUAGUGUAAUGGUUAACAUACUCCGCUUUCAAUCAGAUCGCAUCUGAAGAUCCGGAGAGCUCCGAGUUCGAUUCUCGGUGUCGGAA
Molecule: transfer RNA, 92 nt
Filed under: Colletotrichum gloeosporioides
Lineage: Eukaryota; Fungi; Ascomycota; Sordariomycetes; Glomerellales; Glomerellaceae
Also listed under: 1 other name
Rfam family: tRNA
About the family: Transfer RNA (tRNA) molecules are approximately 80 nucleotides in length. Their secondary structure includes four short double-helical elements and three loops (D, anti-codon, and T loops).
Source: Rfam by way of RNAcentral